Molecule: non-coding RNA, 47 nt
Organism: Aedes aegypti (yellow fever mosquito)
Lineage: Eukaryota; Metazoa; Arthropoda; Insecta; Diptera; Culicidae
Source: Rfam
CAAUCGGCCCUUCUCAGAGCCAACAAAUGUGUUCUAAAGAGUUAUUU